This 68-nucleotide transfer RNA is filed under the name Corythucha marmorata. RNAcentral's name for it is "tRNA-Gln". Lineage: Eukaryota; Metazoa; Arthropoda; Insecta; Hemiptera; Tingidae. The record is from RNAcentral.
UAUACUUUGGUGUAUGUAGCACAUGAAAUUUUGAAUUUCAUAGAUUAGUUAAAUUCUAAAUUGUAUAA